UGGGGAGAACGGCAGUCAGAUUCCUCCCA
Molecule: non-coding RNA, 29 nt
Filed under: Homo sapiens (human)
Lineage: Eukaryota; Metazoa; Chordata; Mammalia; Primates; Hominidae
Source: RNAcentral